UAGAGUUUGAUCCUGGCUCAGAAUGAACGCUGGCGGCGUGCUUAACACAUGCAAGUCGCACGAGAACUCUUUAGCUUGCUAAAGAUAGUAAAGUGGCGCACGGGUGAGUAACGCGUGGGUAAUCUACCUCUAAAUCGGGGAUAACAUUGCGAAAGCGAUGCUAAUACCGGAUAAUAUCUUUUAAGCCUCGGCUUGUUAGAUCAAAGGUGGCCUCUACAUGUAAGCUACUGUUUAGAGAUGGGCCCGCGUACCAUUAGCUUGUUGGUAGGGUAAUGGCCUACCAAGGCAUCGAUAGUUAGCUGGUCUGAGAGGAUGAUCAGCCACACUGGAACUGACACACGGUCCAGACUCCUACGGGAGGCAGCAGUGAGGAAUUUUGCGCAAUGGGGGAAACCCUGACGCAGCAACGCCGCGUGAGUGAUGAAGGCCUUCGGGUCGUAAAGCUCUGUCAAGUGGAAAGAACCUGCUUUAUGCUAAUAUCAUAUUGCACUGACGGUACCACUGAAGGAAGCACCGGCUAACUCCGUGCCAGCAGCCGCGGUAAUACGGAGGGUGCAAGCGUUAUUCGGAAUUAUUGGGCGUAAAGAGCGCGUAGGCGGUCCUUUAAGUCAGAUGUGAAAGCCCGAGGCUUAACCUCGGAAGUGCAUUUGAAACUAAUAGACUUGAGUAUGGGAGAGGGAAGUGGAAUUCCUGGUGUAGAGGUGAAAUUCGUAGAUAUCACGAGGAACACCGGUGGCGAAGGCGACUUCCUGGACCAAUACUGACGCUGAGGCGCGAAGGCGUGGGGAGCAAACAGGAUUAGAUACCCUGGUAGUCCACGCAGUAAACGGUGAACACUAGGUGUAGCGGGUAUUGACCCCUGCUGUGCCGGAGUUAAUGCAUUAAGUGUUCCGCCUGGGGAGUACGACCGCAAGGUUAAAACUCAAAGGAAUUGACGGGGC
RNAcentral lists this ribosomal RNA (941 nucleotides) under uncultured delta proteobacterium. Its description in RNAcentral is "bacterial SSU rRNA". It matches the Rfam family "Bacterial small subunit ribosomal RNA", at positions 1 to 919 of the family's 1533-position model. The record is from RNAcentral. Lineage: Bacteria; Deltaproteobacteria.